AUGGAUAGGGCUCUUCUCGUGCCCGCUCUCCUGCUCGCGGCUCUGCUAGCUUGCAGCGGCGGCGUCCAUGGCGCCGGGUUCAACAGGCACAGCUUCCCCAAGGGGUUCAUCUUCGGCACCGGCUCCUCCGCCAUUCAGUAUGAGGGAGCUGUGAAUCUGCGGGGCAAGAACAUCUGGGACACCUUCGCUCGCACCCCAGGUGAAAUAGCCGACGGCAGCAACCCGGAUACGGCAAACGACUUCUAUCAUCGCUACAAGGACGAUCUGAAGCUGAUAACCGACAUGAACAUGGACACCUUCCGGUUCUCCCUUGCGUGGAGCAGGAUCCUUCCAAAUGGAACCAUAGCCGGAGGAAUCAACAAAGCAGGGGUCGAUUUCUACAACAGCCUCAUCGACAAGGUUUUGGCUAGAGGGCUGACGCCUUUCGUCACAAUCUUCCACUUCGACACCCCCCAGGUCCUCGAGGACAAAUACGGAGGCUUCUUGAGCCAAAACAUCGUAAAGGACUACGUGGAGUACGCGGAGCUGUGCUUCAAGCUGUUCGGCGACCGGGUGAAGUUCUGGACCACCUUCAACGAGCCCAUGAUCUUCUGCGCCUUCGGAUACGGCAGCGGCAGCACGGCCCCGGGGCGCUGCUCGCCGUACGUGUCCAAGGCCUGCGGCGCCGGGGACUCCUCCACGGAGCCCUACAUCGCCGGCCACAACCUCCUCAUCGCGCACGCCGAGGCCGUGCGCCUGUACCGCACCAGGUACCAGCCGGCGCAGCGGGGCCAGGUCGGCAUCGUGCAGGUGUCCCACUGGUUCAUCCCCUACGACGCCGCCUCCGACGCCGACCGGCACGCCGUGAAGCGCAGCCUGGACUUCAUGCUCGGUUGGUUCAUGCACCCGGUGGCGUUCGGGGAGUAUCCGGCGACGAUGCGCCGGCUGGUAGGCCUCCGGCUGCCGGAGUUUACCAAGGAGCAGUCCGACAUGCUCAAGGGGUCCUACGACUUCCUCGGCCUCAACUAUUACACGAGCAACUACGCGCAGGCCGCCGCGCGCGCGCCCGACCGGCGGCAGCCGUCGUACGGCACCGACCACCGGGUCAACCAGACCGGCUACCGCAACGGCAUCCCCAUCGGCCCACCGGCGUACACGCCCAUCUUCUUCAACUACCCGCCGGGGCUGCGCGAGCUGCUGCUUUACAUCCGGAGGAUCUACGGCAACCGCCCCAUCUACAUCACCGAAAACGGCACUGACGAGGCGAACAACAGCACAAUCCCGAUCAAAGAAGCGCUCAAGGACGACACCCGCAUCUCCUUCCACGUCAACCACCUCAAGUUGGUGCACAAAGCCAUCCAGGAGGGGGUGAACGUGAAGGGUUACAUCACAUGGACGUUCCUGGACGGCUUCGAGUUCGGUGACGGAUUCAAGGAUCGGUUCGGUCUCAUCUACGUCGACUAUGCCACGCUCGCCAGGUACCGCAAGAAGUCCAGCUACUGGUACCCNNNNNNNNNNNNNNNNNNNNNNNNNNNNNNCUACUGGAUCCAGGACUUCCUUCAGAGGCACUGA
RNAcentral lists this ribosomal RNA (1551 nucleotides) under Triticum aestivum (bread wheat). RNAcentral's name for it is "partial small subunit ribosomal RNA". Lineage: Eukaryota; Viridiplantae; Streptophyta; Magnoliopsida; Poales; Poaceae. The record is from RNAcentral.